UUGCACGCUGGCGGCAGGCCUAACACAUGCCAGUCGAACGGUAACAGGAAGCAGCUUGCUGCUUCGCUGACGAGUGGCGGACGGGUGAGUAAUGUCUGGGAAGCUGCCUGAUGGAGGGGGAUAACUACUGGAAACGGUAGCUAAUACCGCAUAAUGUCGCAAGACCAAAGAGGGGGACCUUCGGGCCUCUUGCCAUCGGAUGUGCCCAGAUGGGAUUAGCUUGUUGGUGGGGUAACGGCUCACCAAGGCGACGAUCCCUAGCUGGUCUGAGAGGAUGACCAGCCACACUGGGACUGAGACACGGUCCAGACUCCUACGGGAGGCAGCAGUGGGGAAUAUUGCACAAUGGGCGCAAGCCUGAUGCAGCCAUGCCGCGUGUAUGAAGAAGGCCUUCGGGUUGUAAAGUACUUUCAGCGGGGAGGAAGGGAGUAAAGUUAAUACCUUUGCUCAUUGACGUUACCCGCAGAAGAAGCACCGGCUAACUCCGUG
This 489-nucleotide ribosomal RNA is filed under the name uncultured bacterium. RNAcentral describes it as "partial 16S ribosomal RNA". It matches the Rfam family "Bacterial small subunit ribosomal RNA", at positions 30 to 507 of the family's 1533-position model. The record is from RNAcentral.